AGAGUUUGAUCAUGGCUCAGGACGAACGCUGGCGGCGUGCUUAAUACAUGCAAGUCGAGCGAGGUUACUGUUUUGGAUCCCCUCGGGGUGAAGAAGCUUUAACCUAGCGGCGGACGGGUGAGUAACGCGUGGGUAACCUACCCCAAAGUCCGGGAUGACAGCGGGAAACCGCUGCUAAUACCGGAUGCCUUUACCUUGGGGCAUCUUGAGGUAAAGAAAGGUAACGCUUUGGGAUGGGCCCGCGUCCCAUUAGCUAGUUGGUGAGGUAACGGCUCACCAAGGCGACGAUGGGUAGCCGGCCUGAGAGGGUGGACGGCCACACUGGGACUGAGACACGGCCCAGACUCCUACGGGAGGCAGCAGUAGGGAAUAUUGCGCAAUGGACGGAAGUCUGACGCAGCGACGCCGCGUGAGCGAUGAAGGUCUUCGGAUCGUAAAGCUCUGUCCUUGGGGAAGAAGGCGAAAGCUUGACGGUACCCAAGAAGAAAGCCCCGGCUAACUACGUGCCAGCAGCCGCGGUAAUACGUAGGGGGCGAGCGUUGUCCGGAAUUACUGGGCGUAAAGGGUGCGUAGGCGGCCCUUUAAGUCGGAUGUGAAAGCCCGCGGCUUAACCGCGGAAUGGCAUUCGAAACUGGAGGGCUUGAGUGUCGGAGAGGGUAGUGGAAUUCCCAGUGUAGCGGUGAAAUGCGUAGAUAUUGGGAGGAACACCAGUGGCGAAGGCGACUACUUGGACGAUAACUGACGCUGAGGCACGAAAGCUAGGGGAGCAAACAGGAUUAGAUACCCUGGUAGUCCUAGCCGUAAACGAUGGGUACUAGGUGUGGGUGGUUUCGAUACCAUCCGUGCCGUAGUUAACGCAUUAAGUACCCCGCCUGGGGAGUACGUGCGCAAGCAUGAAACUCAAAUGAAUUGACGG
This 916-nucleotide ribosomal RNA is filed under the name uncultured bacterium. Its description in RNAcentral is "bacterial SSU rRNA". It matches the Rfam family "Bacterial small subunit ribosomal RNA", at positions 8 to 916 of the family's 1533-position model. The record is from RNAcentral.